Molecule: ribosomal RNA, 360 nt
Filed under: Entoloma aff. kujuense 189-621
Lineage: Eukaryota; Fungi; Basidiomycota; Agaricomycetes; Agaricales; Entolomataceae
Description: eukaryotic LSU rRNA
Rfam family: 5.8S ribosomal RNA (bases 1-105)
Source: RNAcentral
GAAUUGCGAUAAGUAAUGUGAAUUGCAGAAUUCAGUGAAUCAUCGAAUCUUUGAACGCACCUUGCGCUCCUUGGUAUUCCGAGGAGCAUGCCUGUUUGAGUGUCAUGAAAUUAUCAAGGUCCUCUCCUUUUCCUGGUCUGGAUUUUUGGAUUUAUGGGGGAAUUGCUGAUUUGAAAACCAAUUAGCUCCUCUGAAAUACAUUAGCAACAAGGCUUCUUCUGCCAAUUUGUGGUGUGAUACAUUUUUAUUUACACUAUUUUAAAAAGGCAGUUAAUCAGUUCUUGUGGCUUCUAAUUGUCUGUUUGGACAGUGUUUUAACAUUUUGACCUCAAAUCAGGUAGGACUACCCGCUGAACUUAA